This 1104-nucleotide ribosomal RNA is filed under the name Enterococcus faecalis. RNAcentral describes it as "bacterial SSU rRNA". The stretch from base 1 to 710 matches the Rfam family "Bacterial small subunit ribosomal RNA", at positions 801 to 1533 of the family's 1533-position model. Lineage: Bacteria; Bacillati; Bacillota; Bacilli; Lactobacillales; Enterococcaceae. The record is from RNAcentral.
CACAGAUGAGUGCUAGUGUUGGAGGGUUUCCGCCCUUCAGUGCUGCAGCAAACGCAUUAAGCACUCCGCCUGGGGAGUACGACCGCAAGGUUGAAACUCAAAGGAAUUGACGGGGGCCCGCACAAGCGGUGGAGCAUGUGGUUUAAUUCGAAGCAACGCGAAGAACCUUACCAGGUCUUGACAUCCUUUGACCACUCUAGAGAUAGAGCUUUCCCUUCGGGGACAAAGUGACAGGUGGUGCAUGGUUGUCGUCAGCUCGUGUCGUGAGAUGUUGGGUUAAGUCCCGCAACGAGCGCAACCCUUAUUGUUAGUUGCCAUCAUUUAGUUGGGCACUCUAGCGAGACUGCCGGUGACAAACCGGAGGAAGGUGGGGAUGACGUCAAAUCAUCAUGCCCCUUAUGACCUGGGCUACACACGUGCUACAAUGGGAAGUACAACGAGUCGCUAGACCGCGAGGUCAUGCAAAUCUCUUAAAGCUUCUCUCAGUUCGGAUUGCAGGCUGCAACUCGCCUGCAUGAAGCCGGAAUCGCUAGUAAUCGCGGAUCAGCACGCCGCGGUGAAUACGUUCCCGGGCCUUGUACACACCGCCCGUCACACCACGAGAGUUUGUAACACCCGAAGUCGGUGAGGUAACCUUUUUGGAGCCAGCCGCCUAAGGUGGGAUAGAUGAUUGGGGUGAAGUCUACGGGGGAACCCCCAAAAAAAAUUUUAAAGGCAGGGAGUUGGGGCCCGAAACCGCCGUUUAAGACCCAAAAAGCCGGCCUGUCACCCGGGGGGUUCCCCCCCGGCUUAUCCCCCUUUUACCCAGCACCCCUGGGGAAAUCCCCUCCCCCCUCUUUGGGGGUCUAGGUACGCCCCGGGGUCCGAGGGGGCCCGCCGGGGGGGGGGGGGGGGGGGGGUUUUACCUUUUGAGGAUUUAAAACACCGGGGGGGGGGGGGGGGUUUUGGCGCCCCAAAAAGUGGGGGGGGAAGGGGGGGGGGCCCCCCCAACUUUUACCGCGGGGGGGGGGGGGGGGGCGAGUUAUGUCUGCGCCGGGGGGGGGUUCUGGGGGGAAAGAAAGGCCCGGGGGGGGGGGGUGUUUCUCUAGAGACAAAAAGGAGCGG